GUUUAGGUAGCUUAAACUAAAGCAAAUCUCUGAAGAAGAUAAGAUGAGACCUCUCCCCAAAUA
RNAcentral lists this transfer RNA (63 nucleotides) under Metaphire sieboldi (earthworm). RNAcentral's name for it is "tRNA-Phe". Lineage: Eukaryota; Metazoa; Annelida; Clitellata; Crassiclitellata; Megascolecidae. The record is from RNAcentral.